RNAcentral lists this non-coding RNA (102 nucleotides) under Heyndrickxia coagulans. Its description in RNAcentral is "Bacillus coagulans SAM-I sequence". It matches the Rfam family "SAM riboswitch aptamer (S box leader)". From Rfam's summary of the family: The SAM riboswitch is found upstream of a number of genes which code for proteins involved in methionine or cysteine biosynthesis in Gram-positive bacteria. The SAM riboswitch acts at the level of transcription termination control. The predicted structure consists of a complex stem-loop region followed by a single stem loop terminator region. Lineage: Bacteria; Bacillati; Bacillota; Bacilli; Caryophanales; Bacillaceae. RNAcentral also lists the same sequence under 1 other name. The record is from RNAcentral.
GCCUUAUCAAGAGAGGCGGAGGGACUUGGCCCGAUGAAACCUCAGCAACCAGCCCAUACGGCACGGUGCUAAAUCCAACAGGUAUACCUGAAAAGAUAAGGA